GCCAGGCAUGGUGGCGCAUGCCUGUAAUCCCAGCUACUUGGGAGGCUGAGGCAGGAGAAUCACUUGAACCCAGGAGGCAGAGGUUGCAGUGAGCCGAGAUCAUGCUACUACACUCCAGCCUGGGCGAAAGAGAGAGACUCUGUCUCAU
Non-coding RNA from Gorilla gorilla gorilla (western lowland gorilla), 148 nucleotides. It matches the Rfam family "Metazoan signal recognition particle RNA". Rfam says of the family: The signal recognition particle (SRP) is a universally conserved ribonucleoprotein. Lineage: Eukaryota; Metazoa; Chordata; Mammalia; Primates; Hominidae. The record is from Rfam.